UCACCUGGUCAGGCCCCCCGAUUGUGA
RNAcentral lists this small RNA (27 nucleotides) under Bombyx mori (domestic silkworm). RNAcentral's name for it is "ovarian small RNA-6874". Lineage: Eukaryota; Metazoa; Arthropoda; Insecta; Lepidoptera; Bombycidae. The record is from RNAcentral.